This 1586-nucleotide ribosomal RNA is filed under the name Tomopterna cryptotis. Its description in RNAcentral is "16S ribosomal RNA". It matches the Rfam family "Bacterial large subunit ribosomal RNA", at positions 368 to 2831 of the family's 2925-position model. Lineage: Eukaryota; Metazoa; Chordata; Amphibia; Anura; Pyxicephalidae. The record is from RNAcentral.
GAGCCUCAAAUCUAGCCUAAUUUCCACUUAUGCUCUGAACUUCCAGAAAUUGUAUGAUAAAACAUUUUAACUUUUUAGUAAAGGAGAUUGAAAGACUUCUAAGCGCCUUAGAUCAAGUACCGCAAGGGAAAGAUGAAAUAGAAAUGAAAUAACCGCAAAGCACACAAAAGCAGAGACCUCCCCUCGUACCUUUUGCAUCAUGGUCUAGCCAGUUUAAUCAAGCAAAAAGAAAAUUUUAGUCUGACCCCCCGAAACUAAGCGAGCUACUCCAAAACAGCUUUUAGAGCCAACCCGUCUCUGUUGCAAAAGAGUGGGAAGAUUUUUGAGUAGCGGUGAUAAGCCUACCGAGCUUAGAGAUAGCUGGUUAUUCAGAAAAAGAAUCUUAGUUCUGCCUUAAGUCUUCAAAUUAACCAAAACAACAAGCUAAACUUAAGAGUUAUUCAAAUAAGGCACAGCUUAUUUGAAAAAGGACACAACCUAAAAUAAAGGGUAAGUUUUACUAUAAAUAACCAAGUGGGCUUAAAAGCAGCCACCUUUCAAAAAGCGUUAAAGCUUCAUUAUUCUUGUACUUUAAUACCUAAAACCCCUAUCAACCCUUCACCAGUACUGAAUGACCCCAUACCUACUAUGGGAGACAUCAUGCUAGAACUAGUAACAAGAAAUAAUAUUUCUCCUCAAUGUGUGUGUGAGCCAGAAACGGAUAAACCGCCGGCAAUUAACGUAAAUGAACACCCUGUAGCAACUAGCACUAGAAAACUCUACACACCCUAACGUUAAUCUUACACUAGGACAUUACCGGAAAGAUUAAAAGGGAAAGAAGGAACUCGGCAAAUUUUAACCCCGCCUGUUUACCAAAAACAUCGCCUCUUGAUUUACCAUAAGAGGUCCAGCCUGCCCGGUGACAAAGUUUAACGGCCGCGGUACCCUAACCGUGCGAAGGUAGCAUAAUCACUUGUUCUUUAAAUAGGGACUAGUAUCAACGGCAUCACGAGGGUUACACUGUCUCCUUUCCCCAAUCAGUGAAACUGAUCUCCCCGUGAAGAAGCGGGGAUAAACAUAUAAGACGAGAAGACCCCAUGGAGCUUUAAGCUCAACAACACCUCCCUACAAAUAUACCACCAUAACCCACGAGCCCUGUUUGUUAGCUUUAGGUUGGGGUGACCGCGGAGUAUAACAUAACCUCCACGACGAAUAGGCCUAAAACCUUUAUCCAAGAGCCACUGCUCUAAGAAUCAUAAAAUUGACGUAAAAUGAUCCGUUUUCGAUCAACGAACCAAGUUACCCUGGGGAUAACAGCGCAAUCCAUUUCAAGAGCCCCUAUCGACAAAUGGGUUUACGACCUCGAUGUUGGAUCAGGGUAUCCUAGUGGUGCAGCCGCUACUAAAGGUUCGUUUGUUCAACGAUUAAAACCCUACGUGAUCUGAGUUCAGACCGGAGUAAUCCAGGUCGGUUUCUAUCUAUAAAGAGUUGCUCCUAGUACGAAAGGAUCGGAACAACAUGGCCAAUGUUUAAAUAAGCCAUAGUCAAAUACUAAUGAACCCAACUCAAUUAGUUACGAUCUUUCAUAUUCCCCUAGAUUAGGGGUG